ACGGGAGGCAGCAGUGAGGAAUAUUGGUCAAUGGGCGGAAGCCUGAACCAGCCAAGUCGCGUGAAGGAAGACGGUAUUAUGUAUUGUAAACUUCUUUAGACGCAGAGAAAUAAGGGGCUCGCGAGCUCUGAUGCUAGUAUGCGUAGAAUAAGGAUCGGCUAACUCCGUGCCAGCAGCCGCGGUAAUACGGAGGAUCCGAGCGUUAUCCGGAUUUAUUGGGUUUAAAGGGUGCGCAGGCGGCGCUUUAAGUCAGUGGUCAAAUCGUGAGGCUCAACCUCAUCCCGCCAUUGAUACUGGAGCGCUUGAUUGCGGUUGAGGUAGGCGGAAUUCGUCGUGUAGCGGUGAAAUGCAUAGAUAUGACGAAGAACCCCGAUUGCGUAGGCAGCUUACCAAGCCGUAAAUGACGCUCAUGCACGAAAGUGCGGGGAUCGAACAGGAUUAGAUACCCUGGUA
Molecule: ribosomal RNA, 453 nt
Filed under: uncultured Porphyromonadaceae bacterium
Lineage: Bacteria; Pseudomonadati; Bacteroidota; Bacteroidia; Bacteroidales; Porphyromonadaceae
Description: partial 16S ribosomal RNA
Rfam family: Bacterial small subunit ribosomal RNA
Source: RNAcentral